This 301-nucleotide long non-coding RNA is filed under the name Elaeis guineensis (African oil palm). RNAcentral's name for it is "long non-coding RNA (EGUI_LNC056428)". Lineage: Eukaryota; Viridiplantae; Streptophyta; Magnoliopsida; Arecales; Arecaceae. The record is from RNAcentral.
AACAACAUGAUCCGAUGGUCAGAAACUAAUUAAAGGCAUGAUCGGAUGGUUGACAAUUGAUCCAACUUUGAUAACGAAUACAACUCUAUUUUUUUGGGCAGAUCUGGGUGGUCUAAGCUCCAUCCGAUGGCCAAAAAAAUUUCUAAGUGUUUAAUACGAAUUCUAACAAUUCUAGGACUCCUUUUCCUACCAAAAAAAUAUAAAAAAUUUACCUAUAAAUAGGGGGUCUGGGAAUAAAGAAAAAUUUAGUGAAAAGGGUAGAAAAAAAUAGAGAAAGAUAUUAUAUAGCUUUAGGGACCCA